GGAGAGCCAAUAAAGAUACGACAGAUCUGGCAGGAGAACAAGAUCCAGCCCAGGUGAUGGGGUGUGAGGCUUGGUCUUAGCUACAGGAGACGCUGGUCUGAAAAGAAGGCAACGCAAGGAAGAGAACAGAGCCAAGGCACCUGCAGCGAGCCAGAGCCAGAGCCCUGACAUCACAAAUGCUUUAAUUGGUUCCAUUUAUUGUUUAAUCCACUUGAAAUUGAAUUUCUGUCAUCCCCGACUGGAAGUGUACUGACCUGCAUACUACCUGUGUUUCCUCACAGCAGGCUGAAAAGCUGUGCCAAUAUUGAGCUCAUCCAGAAUUAGACGAAGUUUGUAUUCUUUUUAUUACUUCCUUUAACCCUGAAUCAGGGUCCAGAAGCAUUUUGUUGACCAUUAACUCUUCUCUGUGAAUAAAGCAGCAUGAGGAACAACCUCUUUUAUUCACAGAGCAAAGCUCUUCGCUGCUCAGCCACAGCGGCUUCAACUCUGGCACGGGUCCUGAAGUGCCAUUUCUAGCACAUGACUCACAAAGUAAAUAAUCUGUAAAUGAAAAGCCUCUUAUCAUACUUUGGCACGAAAAACAAAGCGACAAGCCAGGCAGCAUUUUUCCCUCAUAUUUGAACCCCACAUGCACCAAGGGCUGUUUUAUGCCUUGCACAUGAGGAGUUUGGUUUGCUC
Long non-coding RNA from Homo sapiens (human), 678 nucleotides. Lineage: Eukaryota; Metazoa; Chordata; Mammalia; Primates; Hominidae. The record is from Ensembl.